Molecule: ribosomal RNA, 569 nt
Filed under: uncultured Candidatus Nostocoida sp.
Lineage: Bacteria; Bacillati; Actinomycetota; Actinomycetes; Micrococcales; Intrasporangiaceae
Description: bacterial SSU rRNA
Rfam family: Bacterial small subunit ribosomal RNA
Source: RNAcentral
UCCUACGGGAGGCAGCAGUGGGGAAUAUUGCACAAUGGGCGAAAGCCUGAUGCAGCGACGCCGCGUGAGGGAUGACGGCCUUCGGGUUGUAAACCUCUUUCAGCAGGGAAGAAGCGAAAGUGACGGUACCUGCAGAAGAAGCACCGGCUAACUACGUGCCAGCAGCCGCGGUAAUACGUAGGGUGCGAGCGUUGUCCGGAAUUAUUGGGCGUAAAGAGCUUGUAGGCGGUUUGUCGCGUCUGCCGUGAAAAUCCGAGGCUCAACCUCGGACUUGCGGUGGGUACGGGCAGACUAGAGUGUGGUAGGGGAGACUGGAAUUCCUGGUGUAGCGGUGAAAUGCGCAGAUAUCAGGAGGAACACCGAUGGCGAAGGCAGGUCUCUGGGCCACUACUGACGCUGAGAAGCGAAAGCGUGGGGAGCGAACAGGAUUAGAUACCCUGGUAGUCCACGCCGUAAACGUUGGGAACUAGGUGUGGGUCUCAUUCCACGAGAUCCGUGCCGCAGCUAACGCAUUAAGUUCCCCGCCUGGGGAGUACGGCCGCAAGGCUAAAACUCAAAGGAAUUGACGG